ACCUAGCGGCGGACGGGUGAGUAAUACUUAGGAAUCUGCCUAUUAAUGGGGGACAACAUCUCGAAAGGGAUGCUAAUACCGCAUACGCCCUACGGGGGAAAGCAGGGGAUCACUUGUGACCUUGCGUUAAUAGAUGAGCCUAAGUCGGAUUAGCUAGUUGGUGGGGUAAAGGCCUACCAAGGCGACGAUCUGUAGCGGGUCUGAGAGGAUGAUCCGCCACACUGGGACUGAGACACGGCCCAGACUCCUACGGGAGGCAGCAGUGGGGAAUAUUGGACAAUGGGGGGAACCCUGAUCCAGCCAUGCCGCGUGUGUGAAGAAGGCCUUAUGGUUGUAAAGCACUUUAAGCGAGGAGGAGGCUCUCUUGGUUAAUACCCAAGAAGAGUGGACGUUACUCGCAGAAUAAGCACCGGCUAACUCUGUGCCAGCAGCCGCGGUAAUACAGAGGGUGCGAGCGUUAAUCGGAUUUACUGGGCGUAAAGCGUGCGUAGGCGGCUUUUUAAGUCGGAUGUGAAAUCCCCGAGCUUAACUUGGGAAUUGCAUUCGAUACUGGGAAGCUAGAGUAUGGGAGAGGAUGGUAGAAUUCCAGGUGUAGCGGUGAAAUGCGUAGAGAUCUGGAGGAAUACCGAUGGCGAAGGCAGCCAUCUGGCCUAAUACUGACGCUGAGGUACGAAAGCAUGGGGAGCAAACAGGAUUAGAU
RNAcentral lists this ribosomal RNA (700 nucleotides) under uncultured bacterium. RNAcentral describes it as "bacterial SSU rRNA". It matches the Rfam family "Bacterial small subunit ribosomal RNA", at positions 90 to 783 of the family's 1533-position model. The record is from RNAcentral.